RNAcentral lists this long non-coding RNA (228 nucleotides) under Setaria italica (foxtail millet). RNAcentral describes it as "long non-coding RNA (SITA_LNC003748)". The record is from RNAcentral. Lineage: Eukaryota; Viridiplantae; Streptophyta; Magnoliopsida; Poales; Poaceae.
CUCUCCCCACCAGAAACGGCCGCUCCACCAUCAUUGUCAUUAAUGGCGCCGCCGCUUCCUUUCCCUCCCACCAACACCGCCUCAGCUCCCUCCCUCCGCCUAUAAAUCGAGCGCCCAAGCCCCGGAUGUCGCUGUUGCUCGCCUUGCCCGACCGUGCCGUUUGCCUCCCUGUUGCGCCGCCGCGUGCCAAGUUGCUCCGCCUUGCUCCAGUCGCCGCACGCAGCUUCC